UGAGAAAAGCAGAAGCACCCGCUUCUCGCCUAGUGGACGUUUUAGUUCGCGGGCAUUGAAUAAUUGAUUUCAAAUUAUGAAAUAACGGUUUGCGGGUAGUUUUUGUUAACUACCCGCUUUUUCUGUAUUUU
The sequence is a regulatory RNA element, 131 nucleotides long. It matches the Rfam family "Ribosomal protein L20 leader". Rfam says of the family: This family is a putative r-protein leader autoregulatory structure found in B. subtilis and other low-GC Gram-positive bacteria. It is located in the 5' untranslated regions of mRNAs encoding initiation factor 3 followed by ribosomal proteins L35 and L20 (infC-rpmI-rplT). A Rho-independent transcription terminator structure that is probably involved in regulation is included at the 3' end. The record is from Rfam.